Molecule: ribosomal RNA, 253 nt
Filed under: uncultured bacterium
Lineage: Bacteria
Description: partial 16S ribosomal RNA
Rfam family: Bacterial small subunit ribosomal RNA
Source: RNAcentral
UACGUAGGGUGCGAGCGUUGCCCGGAUUUAUUGGGCGUAGAGGGCGCGUAGGCGGCCACGCACGUCCGUUGUGAAAUCGCCCGGCUCAACUGGGCGGGGUCAGCGGAUACGGCGCGGCUGGAGCAAGCUAGGGGGCAAUGGAAUUCCCGGUGUAGUGGUGGAAUGCGUAGAUAUCGGGAGGAACACCAGUGGCGAAGGCGGUUGCCUGGAGCUUUGCUGACGCUGAUGCGCGAAAGCGUGGGGAGCGAUCCGG